GUUUGUAUGUGGGCGCGUAAAUUUGAUUUGUCAGCAAACGCUUUAUUGCAGAUCGUACAUUUAAAUGGUUUCUCACCUAGUGUAGGAAAGAGAAACGUCAUCGAAUUACAUAAUAACAGACUCUUUGCGAAUGUUUAUCGACGAAAGGAACACAAUGAUACCAGCGAACUUAUUUUUAAAACGAAGCUACAGCAAGAUGAAAAAAGAAAAAAACCUCUGGCACGGGACAAAUGAUGAAUAUUUGAGAAGACAGGACGUACCUCUUCCGGAUCCAUUGAACUCUUCUUCGACUCCGUUGUAUCGUCGGUUGUCGAAUGAAAUCGUGUGGAUGUUGGAGUCCUAAUUUUUGAUAUCUAAAAGCAUUAAUUCAAAGUAUCGGCAAAAACGAAUGUAAUGAACGACAGGAAACAGAUUAUUUAAACGAUAUUUACUAGUUGGCAAAUGAAAGGAUAAGCAUUCUAUUUUUGUGCGAAGCCAGAUUUUGUGGGAUCUACGGCACGCGUCCAAUGUUCAUUAACUGCCACUGAACCGAGGAAGGAAAAAAGGAAAGAAACGCGUGUCGUUUAAUAUGCGGCAUCUUUUGACCAUCAUGACGAACAAACGGAAAAAGUGCAAAGAUGGUAGAGAUACGAUUCAUCGAGACACACGGUCUUUUUACUUACGAGAUGAGUGAAAUUUCCUCGAACUUGAUGCUACAAGUAUUUUGAGAAAACGAUGGAAACCACAGUAACGAUAUUAAAAAUAUUAUAAAGUUUCGCCGCAAAUGAUGAGAGAACAGCUGCAAUUCUUAAAAAUUUCUUACGUUGAAAGUUUCCACACUUAUCCCAUGGAAUUUUUCGAAAAUAAACAUUAUAUUUCUAUGUCGUAGCGGCUAUCAUACAUUUGCUAUCCUUUGCAAUGUGUUAUUAACAUCAGCUUGUUAUUAAUAAAAUAAUAAAAAUGGCACGUUUAUUUCAGACACACUUUAUCGAUUAUAUAUUCUCCACGAUCGUAUAAUAAUAUCACGGAUGACUUUUCUGAUAAAAGUUUUAUUAAUUACCUUGUUUCUUAUCGAUGUAAUUAAGUGAUGAACCACGAUAAAGGAUUGUUGUAUACCUUUUGAUAUUAAAGUAUGUAUAUGUGAUAGAGUCGCAUUUAAAACGACUUGCAAAGCGUUUAAAAAUGAGAAGGGAAAAAUGGAAAGUGAAGUUUUCUGAGUGCAAUGCGAGCGGCAUUCGUUCAUGCAAACGAAGACUAUGCAGCGAGAGACUAUGCAAGCAGCGGGCUUUUUGGUCGGCGAUUGAAUGAAUGCCACGCGAGUUAGUCAGCGUCGCGGUGCUAAAUUCGGCGGACGCCUGGCGUCGAUCCAGAAGAACCACCCAGCGCACCAACCUGCUUCUAUCCUGUAGCCACCAAUGAAACUGCGAGAGCCGUUUUCUUAUUUGCUUGCCACCUUCUUUCGUCCCGCGUCGAUGUUUCAUGAUGCUUUUCUUCUGUUCGCUGGGAAGAUACGAUGCUGAGUGUAAGCUGCAUUUAUGGAUGCUCGUAAAUCUAGAGACAACAGGAUAAUGAUUUAGAUUUAAAUUUUGUAGACUGAUAUAUUUGAUUGGCGGACAAUAAGACACAAAAUAUAAAGUAUAUUAUAAGAACAGGUGUCUCGACGAUUCUAUUGCAAUCGCGGUAGUAUCGACGUUGGAUCUAAAAAUAAAGUCACGAGUGUUGAGUAUCUCAACUGACGCAACUACAAAAUUCGCCAAGCUUUUCUCGGCAACGAAUUGCCAGUAUCCAAACUUCUACGUGUCAUCAAAUGUAUAUGAAGUAUAAUUCCUCUCGUGGUUUCUAUGUUAAUAAACCAGUGGACGGGGCGCAUCCUACAGGUGCCUGAACGCGUUUCUGAUGGAACGCAUCGCGUAAAACGCGUAUUUUCGGCGCACUUGGAGAAGCUCCAGGUGCGGAGGAGGAAGUAUAUGUAAGCCGUGAUGAGGUAAAGAGAGAAGCUGGGUGGAUGUAGUGGUGAAACACUUAAAUGACUGAAUUAGAGCAAAAAAUUGGAGUUACAGACUAUUUAUAUUUCAAAAGAUAUGGAUAAACACUAUCCUCAAUGGUUAUCCAGACUCGUGCCAACGAAGAGAAAAAAAGUAUCUCGGAAAUUAAGGAAGGGGACUUUUUUGCUCAAUAAGGAAAACAGAGUCAUUAAGUACAAUCCUAUUUCGUUUCGAUCAUUCGGGAAAAAAUAAAUGUUUCAGUGGGUCGGAUACCGUCUCGAAAAGUAUCCGGAAACGCCUGGUUCUUCUUAUAAAUCAGCGUCGGUACACUCCCUCUUUCCACGUCUAUGUCAUUUAGCAAGAAGUUUUCUGCUAGAAAAAAAAAAAAAGGAAAAAGUACGCGAUCGCUAUUUAAAAGGCUCGUAGGUGGGUGGCUUUUUAGUUGAAGUAUAUACCGACGUAGGGAGAGGGCUUCGACUUUGGUCUUCGGCCUCGGUAUGGGGUUGCCGUGCUAUUUUCAGGCCGGUGGCUCGAUGCAGCUGCCGUGUUCUUCGGGUAAAUCACCUCUCUUCUAUUCCACGGUCACUCACGAGACAAGGUAGAACGUAUAGAUCGGAAUUCUAAAUUCACGAUUCGAGAAUUCGUAAAGGAUGACGUAUCUUCGUUAAU
This is a long non-coding RNA of Frieseomelitta varia, 2633 nucleotides long. RefSeq lists it as uncharacterized. Lineage: Eukaryota; Metazoa; Arthropoda; Insecta; Hymenoptera; Apidae. The transcript has 5 exons. The record is from RefSeq and is a predicted model, not a curated record.